CCAGUUGUGAUGAACACCGUAAGAAUCAGGCAUAUUACGAGGGACAUGCCAAUUACCACCCCAACGAACUUUUUCGUUAGCUCUGUAGUAGUCGAUUUGCCACUACAAGAAAUAUGGGUAUUGGUAGCAGUUCGUGGUAGCACGAAUUCACCAACUGCUACCAAAAGUGCCAAAAUCAGAUCACAACUCAAUCGUAACAUUAAAUUCGCGCUAUGGAAUUUUUUUAUUAAGCGGAAACGCAAAAUUCUGUUUUGUAGCUGAAAUGUUAUUUUGGAGGGUAAAACACUUAACGAAAUUUCACAUUCCCACCAAAAAAUAAUGUUUUGGUAGAAAUUGUUAUUUUUUUGCCCAAGUCAUUUUCAUUUUACAAAGAAAAAAAAAACUUAUUUGUUUUCUCUAUCAUCGUCUUCAUUGUUUAUUUGACUCAAUCUAUCUAUUUCGAUCGAAGAAACACAUAUGGAUUGGUCUUGUUCAAAGUCGAACUCAGGAACCCUAAUCUGUCAAGCCGCUGGACUCUUCUUCUUCGUCAUACACAAACUCCUCCAUCCACGGCGAAUUGGCUCCUUCACCUUCCUCCGCUGCUUUUCACCACCAUCACAUUUGCCGCUUCUUCUUCAUAUUCCCUUUGUUUUAUCAAUCUCAAUUGCACAGAAAUCAAAACUCUAGAGGUCAUCGACCUAUAUCCUUUGACAAGGUAUGGCCCAGCGUGAAGACGUUUAUGACCUUAAUAACCCACUAGAUUCCAGGUUUUCUUCUACUCCAAUGCUCCAAUCAAUUGGGUCUAUAAAAAUUUCCCUUUUUUAUUGUUUAGUCACACUUGUUCAGUUUUCACGAGUUUCUUUUGUUCGAUUUCGCUGACAAAACCCCCUUAUUUUGUUCAAUCGAUUUCGGCAUGGCUGUUUAUGUUCAUUUCUAUUAAAAAUCUCUCAUUUCUGCUGUUCCCUCUUGACAAAACUCCACCUUGAUUUUUUUCACUUACUAUUGUAUUUGUUUACGGUAUGACCAGAACUGGAUUGUUUAUGUUGGAUUAGCAGAAAAAGUUUGUCUUUUUGGUGUGUGAUUCUGAUUGUUUCUCUUCUAUUGAUUUAUGCAACUGGGAACUGAGUUCUGAUAUGCGUUUUAUGUGAAAAGUUUUACCAUUUUAAUGAUGCCUCAAGGAGUUGUACCAGUUCAGGGAUGGAACCCUACACCGUAAGUUAUGUCAUACCGGAACUGAUCACAGCAACUACAGAAACUUGCAGCAAAACGAGUCAGGCUAAUCUGUCCUCUUGACGGGAUCUAUGCAUUGUUCUUCCUUGAAGGUUUGAAAGUCCUCACACAAGAAGAUGAGAACGGAAACGUCAAACUUGAGUGUCCCGCCAUUAGUAAACAACAGUUUGCAGCUGGGAGGUUUCACAUUGACUCACGGGUGACAGCUACUAAAGAUGCUGAUCGCAUUGCUGCGCUUGAUGUUCUUCGUAUUAUCAAUGAGCCUACUGCUACUUCUUUGGUUUAUGCUUUUGAAAGGAGAAGCAAUUAAAUAAUUAUUGUCUUUGAUCUUGGUGGUGGUACAUUUGAUGUCUCUGGUACUUUACAUUAAACUGUUGCUAUAUAUAUAUAUAUAUUAGUUUGAUAAAACGGUUACAGUUUUGUAAACGAAUUUUGAUUUAUAAAAACUCAAUUGCAAUGUAUCUCAAUUGGUGACAAAAAAAAAAAAUCUAAUUAGGGGUAUAUGAUUAAAUUGCAAUGUAUAAAUGAUAAUUAAACAUUUAGAUUAAAUUUAAUAUUUGAACUUAAAUAAUGAACAGUAGAAUUUUAAGAUUUUUAGUUAGAUUUGGGUAUAUGAUUAAUUUGGGGUUUAAACCCUUACCCUAAACAUAAACAUUAAAAUUUCAAUAUUUUCAUAAUAUAAUUUCGAUCUUAAAUUUAAAUUUAAAGUUUAAUAAUUUUAAAAAUAGAAUCUCAAAUUUAAAUUAUAAUCCUCAAACAUUAAAUCUUAAAUCUAUACCCUAAAUAUAAUACCCUAAACCCCAAACUUAAAUCUUACAUACAAAGUCAUAAAUCUAUUUUUUUAAUUUAUAAUAUAAAUUUUAAACUUAGACUCCAAAUAUAUUCUAAAACUCAAACCAUAUACUUAAUUAUAAAUCUUAACCCUAAACCCUAAACCCUAAACCACAUACUUCAUAUUAACCUACAUCAUAAAUCCUAAUUUACAAAUUUCAAAAAUUUAAAUUUUACUCUAAAUUCUAACAUAUACACUAUAAUUGUGAACUCUAAAUACAAAAUCUAAAUUUUAAAUUUAAUCAAAUACAUAUACUAUAAAUGCCAAACACCAAACCCUACAUCAAACCCUAUUCUUCAAAUUGAUACUCAAACUCUAAAUCCUUUUAUAACAAUUCUUAAUUUUUUUAAAGAAAAUCAUAAUUAUAUAUCAUAAUUGAUAUUUUUGCAAUUACAAAUUGUAAUUACUGAAAUUAACCAUCACUUAAUCUUCAAACAUUAGUCUUUGUAAAUAUAUAAAAUGAUAUGUCAAACUUAAUAAGAUUAAAUAAAAUAAAAUAAAAAGAAAGAAUUGUGUGGUACAAACUACAAUCUCUAUCUCACCUCCUUUUACGUUAUUCUUCUUUUUUUUAAUAGCAAUCCUAGUGAUUCUUUUCUAUUGGCUAAUACAAAAAAGUGGGGAUAACUUCUUUUUUAACCUUAACCGUUGAUGAAUUUAAUAUAAAGGACAUAAAUAUUUGCUUUUUUUUUUAAUGGUUUCCUCUCUUUCUCGAUCUCUGCUCCUCUUCUCUUCUACUGUCGUAAACCUGAAAAAAAAAUGAAUCCAUCUCUUCUUCUUCUCUGGAAUAACUAAGAAACCCAGAAAAAUUCUCCAUCUUUUACGAAGGACUCCACUUCUCACCUCGUUGGUUCAUGUCUCAAUCCCAUCAGCUCAAACGAAAUCUGUCUCCUUUAUUUCCGAAUUUGUGUAAGUUGUUUUCGUUUGGACUCUCCUUAGAACUGUUGAUAAGAUUCAUUUUUUAUUUGUAUACAUACUGAUUUGCUGUUUUGGAAUGUGGAGGAGACAUGAGAUUUUACGGAGGAGACAGAAGAUUUGGCAGAGGAGAAGGAGGCGCCACCACCUCCAUCUGUUGAUUAUAUCUUAGAUCUGUUGAUAAAAUUCAUCUUGUAUGUGUUUACAUACUGAUUUGUUUUUUUAGAAUGUGGAGGAGACAUGAGAUUCUAUGGAGGAGACGGAAGAUUUGGCUCGAACGGUGGCUCCAACACAAGAUUGAAUCAUUUCUUCAGCCAUAGCAUCCAGAGCGGGUUGAGGCGUCGGUGUAGAAGAAGUGGUAUGUGACUGAAAGAUGGUGACGUUGAAGCGCUGUGGUGACGGAUACGAAGGCGCAGCUGAUAUGCGGCUUAGGUUUAGGUUUUGUUAAUUAGGUUUGGUUUAAUGUGUGUUUAAUUAGUUUUGGUUUAAUGUGUUAUGGUGUAUUUAAUUUUUUAAUUCUGGUUUAGUGUUAUAUUUAUUUGUAAUUUAAGUUUUAAUUAAUAAAUAAAAAUUUAUUUUUAAUUACAAA
Long non-coding RNA from Brassica napus (rape), 3542 nucleotides. RefSeq lists it as uncharacterized. Lineage: Eukaryota; Viridiplantae; Streptophyta; Magnoliopsida; Brassicales; Brassicaceae. The transcript has 2 exons. The record is from RefSeq and is a predicted model, not a curated record.